Molecule: ribosomal RNA, 1521 nt
Filed under: Neisseria gonorrhoeae
Lineage: Bacteria; Pseudomonadati; Pseudomonadota; Betaproteobacteria; Neisseriales; Neisseriaceae
Also listed under: 8 other names
Description: bacterial SSU rRNA
Rfam family: Bacterial small subunit ribosomal RNA
Source: RNAcentral
AGAGUUUGAUCCUGGCUCAGAUUGAACGCUGGCGGCAUGCUUUACACAUGCAAGUCGGACGGCAGCACAGGGAAGCUUGCUUCUCGGGUGGCGAGUGGCGAACGGGUGAGUAACAUAUCGGAACGUACCGGGUAGCGGGGGAUAACUGAUCGAAAGAUCAGCUAAUACCGCAUACGUCUUGAGAGGGAAAGCAGGGGACCUUCGGGCCUUGCGCUAUCCGAGCGGCCGAUAUCUGAUUAGCUGGUUGGCGGGGUAAAGGCCCACCAAGGCGACGAUCAGUAGCGGGUCUGAGAGGAUGAUCCGCCACACUGGGACUGAGACACGGCCCAGACUCCUACGGGAGGCAGCAGUGGGGAAUUUUGGACAAUGGGCGCAAGCCUGAUCCAGCCAUGCCGCGUGUCUGAAGAAGGCCUUCGGGUUGUAAAGGACUUUUGUCAGGGAAGAAAAGGCCGUUGCCAAUAUCGGCGGCCGAUGACGGUACCUGAAGAAUAAGCACCGGCUAACUACGUGCCAGCAGCCGCGGUAAUACGUAGGGUGCGAGCGUUAAUCGGAAUUACUGGGCGUAAAGCGGGCGCAGACGGUUACUUAAGCAGGAUGUGAAAUCCCCGGGCUCAACCCGGGAACUGCGUUCUGAACUGGGUGACUCGAGUGUGUCAGAGGGAGGUGGAAUUCCACGUGUAGCAGUGAAAUGCGUAGAGAUGUGGAGGAAUACCGAUGGCGAAGGCAGCCUCCUGGGAUAACACUGACGUUCAUGUCCGAAAGCGUGGGUAGCAAACAGGAUUAGAUACCCUGGUAGUCCACGCCCUAAACGAUGUCAAUUAGCUGUUGGGCAACUUGAUUGCUUGGUAGCGUAGCUAACGCGUGAAAUUGACCGCCUGGGGAGUACGGUCGCAAGAUUAAAACUCAAAGGAAUUGACGGGGACCCGCACAAGCGGUGGAUGAUGUGGAUUAAUUCGAUGCAACGCGAAGAACCUUACCUGGUUUUGACAUGUGCGGAAUCCUCCGGAGACGGAGGAGUGCCUUCGGGAGCCGUAACACAGGUGCUGCAUGGCUGUCGUCAGCUCGUGUCGUGAGAUGUUGGGUUAAGUCCCGCAACGAGCGCAACCCUUGUCAUUAGUUGCCAUCAUUCGGUUGGGCACUCUAAUGAGACUGCCGGUGACAAGCCGGAGGAAGGUGGGGAUGACGUCAAGUCCUCAUGGCCCUUAUGACCAGGGCUUCACACGUCAUACAAUGGUCGGUACAGAGGGUAGCCAAGCCGCGAGGCGGAGCCAAUCUCACAAAACCGAUCGUAGUCCGGAUUGCACUCUGCAACUCGAGUGCAUGAAGUCGGAAUCGCUAGUAAUCGCAGGUCAGCAUACUGCGGUGAAUACGUUCCCGGGUCUUGUACACACCGCCCGUCACACCAUGGGAGUGGGGGAUACCAGAAGUAGGUAGGGUAACCGCAAGGAGUCCGCUUACCACGGUAUGCUUCAUGACUGGGGUGAAGUCGUAACAAGGUAGCCGUAGGGGAACCUGCGGCUG